Molecule: long non-coding RNA, 1838 nt
Organism: Maniola jurtina (meadow brown)
Lineage: Eukaryota; Metazoa; Arthropoda; Insecta; Lepidoptera; Nymphalidae
Exons: 2
Source: RefSeq, a predicted model, not a curated record
AAAAUGACAUUCCAAUGUGGCUGACAAGCACGGGACCCAGAGCUAUUCGAGCGCCAUAUUGGAACGAUGUGGCUAUUUAAGACCUGUAGCUUAAGGUCUGAGUUCAGUCUACGCUGAAAUUUUGGAAGAAAUAGUGCAAGUGUUAUAGUGUUUCGUGGUGGUUAGAAAAAGCUAAGUAUAUUAACUAUUUGGUUACUUUAAUAUUAGAAUGUUAGUAUGAUUAUCUGCAAAUAUUUUUGAGACAUUAACCAUAUUGUGAUAAUUUCCUAAAUCUGCUUAAACUUUGAUUUGUUAUAGUUUGAGGUUUUAUCCACAUUGUGUAAAUUGGUUAUUGUUGGUUAAAAUGAUUUUCUCUGGAUUUCCAUCGGAAAUAAUUGUGUGAUUAAAAUGAAUUUCAAAUAACGUAAUUUUGCUGGUUCUGUAAAACUAAUAAGUUUGUCCCGCCAUUUUUAUUAUUGGUGGAAUAAGAUUACAAAGGCGGUAGUAAUGAACUUUGGUUAAUAAUGUUAAAAUAAAUACAGUUACAUAACCUAAAAUAAAAACCACGUGUUAAUAAUUUAUUGACUUUGUUGAUUAUUUGAUUAUAUCAUAAGAGAUGAAAUUACCUAACCUAAAUUAGCACACGUGGUGAUAGUGUACUUGCUUUGUUGAAUGUUCUGAUUAUAUUAGUGUUAUUAUAUGAAUUGCAUUUACCUGUUGAAAUGAGAAUUUUGAAUAGAUGAAUUUAAUGAAGUGGAACAUAAAGGAAAAUAUGGGAGAAAUAUAUAAUUAAUUACUGGUGUUUGUUGUUUUAAUUCUAUCUUAAUAGGUCACAUCUAAUGCUUGGUCUAACAAUUUUCAGAAGUGGGAUGAUUUCCCGUAGCAGAACCCGGUCGCGCAGCCGGGUGAGGUGGUGUCUAUGGAGAAUGGAGCGUGAGCAGCCACGGGUGCAAGAAGAUGACAACGAAAGCAGCUCCCGGCGCCAACUUCGCUGCCUCGUUGAGUCUACAGACUGACGGCGGAUACGACGUUCACCGAGCGGUACUGGGUCGCAAAGCGAGUCAGGAUGGACGAGUGUCAAAAUGACAUUCCAAUGUGGCUGACAAGCACGGGACCCAGAGCUAUUCGAGCGCCAUAUUGGAACGAUGUGGCUAUUUAAGACCUGUAGCUUAAGGUCUGAGUUCAGUCUACGCUGAAAUUUUGGAAGAAAUAGUGCAAGUGUUAUAGUGUUUCGUGGUGGUUAGAAAAAGCUAAGUAUAUUAACUAUUUGGUUACUUUAAUAUUAGAAUGUUAGUAUGAUUAUCUGCAAAUAUUUUUGAGACAUUAACCAUAUUGUGAUAAUUUCCUAAAUCUGCUUAAACUUUGAUUUGUUAUAGUUUGAGGUUUUAUCCACAUUGUGUAAAUUGGUUAUUGUUGGUUAAAAUGAUUUUCUCUGGAUUUCCAUCGGAAAUAAUUGUGUGAUUAAAAUGAAUUUCAAAUAACGUAAUUUUGCUGGUUCUGUAAAACUAAUAAGUUUGUCCCGCCAUUUUUAUUAUUGGUGGAAUAAGAUUACAAAGGCGGUAGUAAUGAACUUUGGUUAAUAAUGUUAAAAUAAAUACAGUUACAUAACCUAAAAUAAAAACCACGUGUUAAUAAUUUAUUGACUUUGUUGAUUAUUUGAUUAUAUCAUAAGAGAUGAAAUUACCUAACCUAAAUUAGCACACGUGGUGAUAGUGUACUUGCUUUGUUGAAUGUUCUGAUUAUAUUAGUGUUAUUAUAUGAAUUGCAUUUACCUGUUGAAAUGAGAAUUUUGAAUAGAUGAAUUUAAUGAAGUGGAACAUAAAGGAAAAUAUGGGAGAAAUAUAUAAUUAAUUACUGGU